This 432-nucleotide ribosomal RNA is filed under the name uncultured bacterium. RNAcentral's name for it is "partial 16S ribosomal RNA". It matches the Rfam family "Bacterial small subunit ribosomal RNA", at positions 29 to 507 of the family's 1533-position model. The record is from RNAcentral.
AUGCACGCUGGCGGCAUGCCUAACACAUGCCAGUCGAACGAAGGCUUCGGCCUUAGUGGCGCACGGGUGCGUAACGCGUGGGAAUCUGCCCCUUGGUUCGGAAUAACAGUUAGAAAUGACUGCUAAUACCGGAUGAUGACGUAAGUCCAAAGAUUUAUCGCCGAGGGAUGAGCCCGCGUAGGAUUAGCUAGUUGGUGUGGUAAGAGCGCACCAAGGCGACGAUCCUUAGCUGGUCUGAGAGGAUGAUCAGCCACACUGGGACUGAGACACGGCUCAGACUCCUACGGGAGGCAGCAGUGGGGAAUAUUGGACAAUGGGCGAAAGCCUGAUCCAGCAAUGCCGCGUGAGUGAUGAAGGCCUUAGGGUUGUAAAGCUCUUUUACCCGGGAUGAUAAUGACAGUACCGGGAGAAUAAGCUCCGGCUAACUCCGUG